UGGGGAAUUUUGGACAAUGGGCGCAAGCCUGAUCCAGCCAUUCCGCGUGAGUGAAGAAGGCCUUCGGGUCGUAAAGCUCUUUCGGCAGGAACGAAAAGGUUAGGGUGAAUAAUUCUAAUUGAUGACGGUACCUGAAGAAGAAGCACCGGCUAACUACGUGCCAGCAGCCGCGGUAAUACGUAGGGUGCGAGCGUUAAUCGGAAUUACUGGGCGUAAAGGGUGCGCAGGUGGUUAUUUAAGACAGAUGUGAAAUCCCCGGGCUCAACCUGGGAACUGCGUUUGUGACUGGAUAGCUAGAGUGCGGCAGAGGGGGGUAGAAUUCCACGUGUAGCAGUGAAAUGCGUAGAGAUGUGGAGGAACACCGAUGGCGAAGGCAGCCCCCUGGGUCAACACUGACGCUCAUGCACGAAAGCGUGGGGAGCAAACAGG
This 429-nucleotide ribosomal RNA is filed under the name uncultured bacterium. RNAcentral describes it as "bacterial SSU rRNA". It matches the Rfam family "Bacterial small subunit ribosomal RNA", at positions 355 to 776 of the family's 1533-position model. The record is from RNAcentral.